Molecule: transfer RNA, 74 nt
Filed under: Edaphochlorella mirabilis
Lineage: Eukaryota; Viridiplantae; Chlorophyta; Trebouxiophyceae; Prasiolales; Prasiolaceae
Description: tRNA-Met
Rfam family: tRNA
About the family: Transfer RNA (tRNA) molecules are approximately 80 nucleotides in length. Their secondary structure includes four short double-helical elements and three loops (D, anti-codon, and T loops).
Source: RNAcentral
UGCGGGAUAGAGCAGUCUGGUAGCUCGUGAGGCUCAUAAUCUUAAGGUCGCAGGUUCGAAUCCUGCUCCCGCUA